RNAcentral lists this ribosomal RNA (428 nucleotides) under uncultured bacterium. RNAcentral's name for it is "partial 16S ribosomal RNA". It matches the Rfam family "Bacterial small subunit ribosomal RNA", at positions 354 to 796 of the family's 1533-position model. The record is from RNAcentral.
GUCGAGAAUCUUCCGCAAUGCGCGAAAGCGUGACGGAGCGACACCGCGUGAUGGAUGAAGUCCUUCGGGGCGUAAACAUCUUUUAUAAAGGAGGAAAUUUUUGACGUUACUUUAUGAAUAAGGGGCUCCCAAUCUCGUGCCAGCAGGAGCGGUAAUACGAGAGCCUCAAGCGUUAUCCGGAAUCAUUGGGCGUAAAGGGUGCGUAGGUGGUUUGAUUAGUCUCCCGUUAAAACUUCGAGCUUAACUAGAAAAGAGCGGGGGAAACGGUCAAACUAGAGUAUGUGAGAGGUGUGUGGAACUCAUGGUGUAGGGGUGAAAUCCGUUGAUAUCAUGGGGAACACCAAAAGCGAAGGCAGCACACUGGCACAUCACUGACACUGAGGCACGAAACCUAAGGUAGCGAAUGGGAUUAGAAACCCGAGUAGUCC